UGGGGAAUAUUGCACAAUGGAGGGAACUCUGAUGCAGCGACGCCGCGUGAACGAAGAAGGCUUUCGAGUCGUAAAGUUCAUUUAUAUGGAAAGAUAAUGACGGUACCAUAAGAAAAAGCCCCGGCUAACUACGUGCCAGCAGCCGCGGUAAUACGUAGGGGGCUAGCGUUGUCCGGAAUCACUGGGCGUAAAGGGUUCGCAGGCGGAAAUGCAAGUCAGGUGUAAAAGGCAGUAGCUUAACUACUGUAAGCAUUUGAAACUGCAUAUCUUGAGAAGAGUAGAGGUAAGUGGAAUUUUUAGUGUAGCGGUGAAAUGCGUAGAUAUUAAAAAGAAUACCGGUGGCGAAGGCGACUUACUGGGCUCAUUCUGACGCUGAGGAACGAAAGCGUGGGUAGCAAACAGG
This 403-nucleotide ribosomal RNA is filed under the name bacterium. Its description in RNAcentral is "partial 16S ribosomal RNA". It matches the Rfam family "Bacterial small subunit ribosomal RNA", at positions 355 to 776 of the family's 1533-position model. The record is from RNAcentral.